Molecule: long non-coding RNA, 2719 nt
Filed under: Olea europaea subsp. europaea
Lineage: Eukaryota; Viridiplantae; Streptophyta; Magnoliopsida; Lamiales; Oleaceae
Source: RNAcentral
UAAGUAGAAAAAAUAGAUUGUAACUACACAAAUUAAAUAUUGGUGCACUAAAAAGAACAUAUUUUUAAACAAUCAUGAUAUAUGUACAUGACUACUUACAAAUUUGUUUUUCGACAAAUGAUUUGAUGAAAUUCAAUUGUGUCAAAAUUUCAUCAACCAAAAAAAAUUAAAUAAAUAAAAAAAUACUUUCACCAAAUAUUUUCCAGGAAUAUUCUCAUAAUAAUAAUGUUAUUCAACACCAAUCAUGCUAGAGCACCAAUCAUGCUAGACAAUUUCAAUUAAUGAAUCAUGUAAUAUUGCACUUAAGCAAACAUAUAUUAAUGUCAUGCAAUUACCAUCUAAAUUGGUGUACGCUUCUACUUGAUAGAGAACACAAAGUAACAAUGUUCAUAAUCAAGAACAAUAAUGCAAGUGAAUUAUGCCAUGCAUUAGACAAACGAUACUAGCAUUUGAGAUUAAACAAAAGAAAUAUAUGGCUCUAAUGAACAAAAUUUCAUAUUAACCAUCUAAUGUGGUUGUACCAACAAAUGUAACAAAAUUGCAUUCUCGAACAUUCUCCAAAAUACUCAAUUGCAUAUCUAUCCUCCAUGUAAAAGCUAAAACAAUUACAAUCACAAUUACAAUUGUAAAAACAGGUAAAGGACAAAAAAAUAUAAUGUGGAGCAAAGGAUGAAGACACAGAUAUCAAAUCAUCAGGAAAGCAAAUAUUGAUAUAGGAAAAACAGAGUAAAUGAAUAGGGCUCAUACGAUGAUUAGAUAGCCCUAGCAUGAGAUUUGGAAAUAGACUUAGAUACAUAUUGUCUAAUUUCAUCAACCUUUUGACACAAAUUUUGUUAGAGAAAAUUCCAAGAAUAACUGCAAUCCUCUUGAACAUUUUAAAACUGGUAUAGCUUUAAUAGAAUGGCAUACUAGAAAAUAUAUCCUCCAAUCAUGAUCUACAUUUACUGGGAAGGUUUACAAAUCACUCCAAAAUGAAGUUCAAAUUUUCUCCUUUUCCUUCAAAAUAAAAAUCAAAUUUGAGAUUAACCGUCCCCAAAACCAAUAAGUUUUAUCAAGAAAAUAUAUCCUCCACAAAAUGCAAGUUCAAUAAAAAUUCCGUAAUCCAAGAAAAGUAUCAUAUCCAUUUUGUAUCAUUUUGGCAGCAUGGCCGAAAUCCAGUUCAUAUAAUGUCUUUUUCGGGAGCUAGAGGAAAUGCAUCUCAGGUACAUCAAUUAGCCCAUGGUCUACAUUUACUGGGGAAGGUUUACAAAUCACUCCAUAAUGAAGUUCAAAUUUUACCGUCUUCCUUCCAAAUAAAAAUCAAAUUUGAGACUUAAACCGUCCCCCAAAACCAAUAAAUUUUAUCUUUUAUUCGACUCUUCUGCUGAUCAUGUGGUUAUACACACACACACAUGACAAGAUAUAAUAUAACUUGGUUUGAUAAAAAUUUUAGUUCACUCGAAGAAAUCCCAGAUCAGAGACAAAUUCAAAAAACAUAGUCCUUUAAUCAGCAACAAUGAAACUCAAUCCACAGAUUUCUUCAACAACGGUUGUUCAAUUCUUGACCAGGUCUACAGGCAGCAGUUAACAAAUCACAGUCAAAACCACCGAAAUAGCAAGAAGAGAAAUAAGAUAGCUGCAGAAAUAAAAAGAACUACACCGCUGGUUCCUCCAGUCAUUGAAGACCAAGUUUUUGUCUAAUUUCCAACAAGAAAUUACAUGCCAUCACCUUGACAGAGAAAAACUAAGACAACUCAACAACUAAAAAUGGUAGAAAGCAACAACAUACAAAUAAGAAGCAAAUGUCAUAAUAUAGAAAUGCAAAAGGAUGCAAUCCUUUAGCAAUCAACAAAAUCAAAGCAGAAACCAGAAUAUCAAUUGGAAACAGAAUAAUUCCAAUCCCUGGAAUCAUAUCAAGAGAAAUACCAACAGCUUUAUGGUGAAUAAAGCUCAAGAACGAGUAAAAGUAUUAUAGAAAAGCCAAUAAUGACAUUGGCAGAUUGUCCACACCAGUCUCUAACUAGAAAUUCGCGGUCCUCAAUAAGGCCUUCUCUAGACUUCCUACGAAGAGCCAAUCUUAUGAAAUAUCAUCAAAACAAUAAUAAUUCAUUUAUCUACCAGCAAAUAUGUUGAGGGGUGUGCAUUAAUUUCUUUGUCCAGUGAACUCAAUCCACCUUUCGUACAGUGACCGUCGUAAAGGGCUAAGAAUUUGAAAAUAAAAUAAAAUAGAAUCCGAGGCUCAGAUCUGCAAAAUAUCAGGCAAAAGACUCCGAACUCGCCAUGGCUGCAAAAUCCAGUUGCAAACCAUGCCAUCUGAAUUUGCCCCGCCAAGAUACGAGUCAGGGUUUCUUCAUACCCGACCCAACUCAAGAAACGUAUCAUCACAGCCUACGAGGAAAGGAACGCGAAAAGAGUUUGUUGGGUAAACCGUGACAUAGCAUAAGUUCAGUGACCAUUGAAACAAUUAACUCUAUCUUCACUAAAUGCAUAGCUUCAUAUGAAUUGAUGAAGAUGGGAAGAAAGGGUUGGUUCUGCAAGUACGCGCAAAGUCGCAACCCGAAAUAAUUACAGGUAGUUUGCUGUAGAAGAGGGUUGUUGAUUUUGUGAAAUCAUUGGCAAUAGAGAGGGUAACAACCCUUUAAAAAAUUCCCAUUUCUCUAACUGCCUCAUUCAUUCGAGUUGGGAUUUUUGCAAGGAAACCCUAAUUUCUUGCUAUAAGACCUGGAUUUAGGGAUGUCAG